RNAcentral lists this ribosomal RNA (253 nucleotides) under uncultured bacterium. RNAcentral describes it as "partial 16S ribosomal RNA". It matches the Rfam family "Bacterial small subunit ribosomal RNA", at positions 524 to 776 of the family's 1533-position model. The record is from RNAcentral.
UACGUAGGUGGCAAGCGUUGUCCGGAUUUACUGGGCGUAAAGAGCGCGCAGGCGGUCGUUCAAGUCGAGUGUGAAAGCCCCCGGCUCAACUGGGGAGGGUCACUCGAUACUGAUCGACUUGAAGGCAGGAGAGGGAAGCGGAAUUCCCGGUGUAGUGGUGAAAUGCGUAGAGAUGUGGAGGAACACCAGUGGCGAAGGCGACUUUCUGGCCUAUAACUGACGCUGAGGCGCGAAAGCGUGGGGAGCAAACAGG